Molecule: long non-coding RNA, 216 nt
Filed under: Hordeum vulgare
Lineage: Eukaryota; Viridiplantae; Streptophyta; Magnoliopsida; Poales; Poaceae
Description: long non-coding RNA (HVUL_LNC006888)
Source: RNAcentral
AAUUAGGGCCCAUAUUAGGUUAAUCUGGUUCUAGAUGCUCUUAGCCUCACACAUCCCCAUAGGACCGAAUGAGACGAGCAUCAACAAAGACAUGAUAAAUUUACGAUGAGUUCCAUGACGAUGUGUGACAGAGGCCUACCAUGGUUUGAUCGUAAAAAAUGUACCCAUGCAUCAAUUUCGAACUCCGAUAAGACAAGCCUAUCAGAUCUAUCACAA